This is a small nucleolar RNA of Toxorhynchites rutilus septentrionalis, 213 nucleotides long. RefSeq annotates it as small nucleolar RNA U3. NCBI's taxonomy places the organism in Eukaryota, Metazoa, Arthropoda, Insecta, Diptera, Culicidae. The transcript has a single exon. The record is from RefSeq and is a predicted model, not a curated record.
AAGACUGUGCUUCACAGGAUCAUUUCUGUAGGCAAGUUUUCACCCCAAGUUUUUUCCGCAAGGAAAAGAUUUCCCACCCACGAUGAUGAGACGUGGUGACCAUUCUGGAGCGUGAAACUUGGUUCGGUUUGGUUCUAUCGUCUACCCGGUAGAACCCCGGACUGCUGAAGAUCGUGCUCGCUUUUGCAAUGGAUUGGUCGCUAUCUGAGUGGU